Molecule: RNA transcript, 4193 nt
Organism: Ictalurus furcatus (blue catfish)
Lineage: Eukaryota; Metazoa; Chordata; Actinopteri; Siluriformes; Ictaluridae
Gene: guf1
Gene name: GTP binding elongation factor GUF1
Exons: 18
Source: RefSeq, a predicted model, not a curated record
UGUUUUUAUCGGAAACGUUUAUAAACAAAUUUGGUCGAGAGUUAAGGGUGAAAUAGAGACAGUUGCACAGCUCUACUUUAUUUAAUGUUGUUUUAUUAACAGCUGGUUUAUUCAACCCUGAGCCGCUGGCUAUCAUGCAAGUUUUACUGAGACCUCUUAGUAAUGUUUUAUUAUUUGCUGGACUCUUUCGUAAUGUUAAGAUAUGCAGAAUAAAGAGAAGAAGUCAGGGUUAUACGGAGGCGUGCACUUUAAUCAGACACAGAUGGAUAAAGACGGGUUAUGUGUCAAGUACACACUGUAUGAGGGAGUUCAGCUCCUCAGCUCAGAAGCAGAAUAUCGAUAUGUCCCAGUUCCCUGUGGAGAAGAUAAGAAACUUCAGCAUCAUCGCUCAUAUUGACCACGGGAAAAGCACCCUCGCUGACAGACUGUUGGAGAUGACAGGUGCCAUUGCAAAAACCGAGCGGAAUAAACAGGUGCUGGACAAACUGCAGGUGGAGAGAGAGAGGGGAAUCACAGUAAAGGCUCAGACUGCCUCUCUGUUCUAUAAGCAUGAGGGACAGACUUAUCUGCUCAAUCUCAUCGACACACCGGGUCAUGUUGACUUCAGCUAUGAGGUGUCGCGCUCCAUAUCAGCCUGCCAAGGAGUUCUGCUCAUAGUAGAUGCAAAUGAGGGAAUACAGGCACAAACAGUGGCAAACUUCUACUUGGCGUUUGAAGCUCAGUUAAACAUAAUACCAGUUAUAAAUAAAAUUGAUUUGAAAAAUGCAGAUCCUGACAGAGUGGAAAAGCAAAUCGAAAAGAUGUUUGAUAUUCCAAGUGAGGAGUGUAUCCGGAUUUCUGCAAAAUUAGGCACAAACGUGGACCAAGUUCUUCAGGAGGUAGUGAAGAGAAUACCUCCACCCACAGCUAAGCUAGAGGAACCAUUUAAAGCCCUGGUCUUUGACUCGACUUUUGACCACUACAGAGGAGUAGUAGCCAAUAUCGCCUUGUUUAGUGGACAGGUCUGUAAGGGGGACAAAAUUGUCUCGGCCCACCUGGGAAAGACGUACGAGGUCAAUGAACUGGGGAUUCUGAGGCCAGAUGAACAACCCACAGAGAGACUCUUUGCAGGACAGGUGGGUUAUGUUAUAGCUGGCAUGAAAGAAGUGAAGGACGCUCAGAUUGGAGACACAUUCUAUCUCCAAAAUCAGCCAGUGGAGGCACUGCCUGGCUUUAAACCUGCUAAGUGCAUGGUCUUUGCAGGUAUAUACCCUACAGAUCAGUCGGAGUAUCCUUCUCUACGCAGCGCGGUGGAGAAGCUCACUCUGAAUGACUCUAGCGUGAUGGUGCAGAGAGACAGCAGUCUGGCUUUGGGGGCUGGCUGGAGGCUGGGAUUUCUGGGUCUGUUGCACAUGGAGGUCUUUAACCAGCGUUUGGAGCAGGAGUAUAAUGCCUCUGUUAUAGUCACAGCUCCAACAGUGCCAUACAAAGCUGUACUGGCCUCACCCAAACUCAUAAAGGAGUAUGGGCAGGAAGUGGUGACCAUUGUAAACCCGACCCAGUUCCCUGAGAGGUCUUGUGUCGUGGAAUACCAGGAGCCCAUGGUAAUGGGAACUAUCAUCAGCCCUGACGACUUCACUGGGAAGAUCAUGAGCCUCUGUCAGAGCCGCAGAGCUAUUCAGAAGAACAUGGUUUACAUCGAUGACCACCGAGUGAUGAUGCAGUACCUGUUCCCUCUAAACGAAAUCGUGGUCGAUUUUUACGACGAGCUUAAGUCCAUGUCAUCAGGAUACGCUAGCUUUGACUACGAGGAUGCUGGCUACGAACCAGCCGAACUGAUUAAGAUUGAUUUCCUGCUCAAUGGGAAACCAGUGGAAGAACUCACCACUAUUGUUCACAACCUUUGCUAUGUUGCUGCUUUUAGAGACCGGGCCUAUAAUACAGGGAAAGCCAUGUGCAUGAGGCUGCAGGAAUCCAUCCCCAGGCAGAUGUUUGAGAUUGCUGUACAGGCAGCCAUCGGAAGCAAAGUCAUCGCCAGGGAAACAAUUAAAGCAUACAGAAAGAACGUCCUAGCGAAAUGUUAUGGUGGUGAUAUCACACGAAAAAUGAAGCUGUUGAAAAAACAAGCGGAAGGCAAGAAGAAAAUGAGGCGCAUUGGAAAUAUUGAGGUCCCCAAAGAGGCCUUCAUUAACGUACUGAAAAGGAAGUAGAAACUCCAAGAAGAAAAUGUCAAAAAUGCUACAUACUGAGGAAGAAAGCCGAAUCAGAAAAUCCUAAUCAAAUCUGAGGUAUCUUUAUGGAUGUGAAAGCACUGCCUUCUAGGACACUGAAGUAUGAGGCAGUAUAGCGAUCAAGGCAGCUACCUUCUGUUUCAGACACCUCCAAGGAGUUUUUGUGCAUCUCUUGUACAAAAUAAAACAAAGGCAAAACCCGAGUAAACACGCAAUACAGUUUUUAGUUAUUUUUUUAAUUGAAGCAAAAAAAGGUAUCCAACACCUAUACACCCAUGUGAAAAACCCCUUAAACUAAAAAUCUGGUUGUGCCAGCUUUAGCAGCAAUAACUCCAACCAAAUUCUUCCGUUAACUGGAGCUCAGUCUUUCACUUCUAGGACUAGAACUUACAACUAUGCUCUGGAUCAUUGUCUUGCUGCAUAAUCCAGUUGAGUUUCAACUUAUCCUUCAAACAUUCUCCUAAACAUUUUCUGGUAGAACAGAAUUAAUGUUUCCCUCAAUUAUUAUAAGUUGCCCAGGCCCUGAAGUAGCAAAGCAUCCCCACACCAUCACACUUCCACCACCAUGCUUGACCAUACAUAUAAUGUUCUUUUUGUGGAAUUAUGAGAUUAGUUUACACCAGAUGUAACGGGACCCCUGUCUUCCAAACAGUUCCACUUUCGACUCUUGAAUCCACAGGACAUUCUCCCAAAAGGUUUGAGGAUCAUCAAGGUGUGUUUUGGUAAAAUUCAGAUGAGUCUUAAUAUUCUUCUGGGUUAGUGGUUUUCACCGUGUCACUCUUCCAUGGAUGCCAUUUUUACCCAGUGACUUUCUGAUAGUGGAGUCAUGAACAGUGACCUUUAUUGAUGCAAGACAGGCCUGUAGGUCCUUUGAUGUUGUCCUUGGGUCUUUUGUAACUUGCUGGAUGAGUAGUUGCUGUGCUCUUGGAGGAAAUUUGGAAGGUCGGCCACUUCUAGGAAGGUUCACUACUGUGCCGAGUUUUUCCAUUUGGUAAAUGAUAAUGGCUCACACUGUGGUCCUUUGGAGUCCCAGACCCUUUGAAAUAGCUUUGUAACCCUUCCCAGACUGAUGUAUUUCAAUCACCUUCUUCCUCAUAAUUUCUGGAAUUUUUUUCAACUUUCAAAGACCUUUUAACCAACUUCAUGCUGUGAAAAAGUUCUAUUUAAGUGUUGAUUUGAUUGAACAGGGUUUGCAGUAAUCAGGGCUGGUUGUGUCUAGUCCAGCUGAACACCAUUAUCAAUACAGUUUCAUAGAUUUGGGGAAUGAACUAUGGGGGCAAAUACAUUUUCACAGAAGCUCAGUUGGUAUUGGAUAUCUUUUUUGCUUCAGUAAUUAACUCUCAUUUAAAACUGUAUUUUGUGUUUACUCAGGUUGCUUUUGUUUUAUCUUAGAUUUUGUUUUAAUUUUUGAAACAAUUUAGUAUAAGAUAUACACAAGAAAUCAAUUACUUUUUUACAUUACUGUGUGUAUUUAUUUAUGUUGUGUAAUGGACUGAUGCGAGAGUGUAGUGUGUGGUCAUGUAAAAUGUAAAUACAGACCUCAAUAUUGUUUUAAAAAUUAAUUAAUAUGCAUUAUUGGCUUUAUGGGUGUAAUGAAAUGCCGAAGAAAAUCUGUGUUUAAUUCUGUAAAGCACUUAAAGGAAAUAAUGCAUUUUUAAUUCCAAGUGAAGCACGUUCAUAGACCUGGAGCCAGUCGUAUGUACACUGGGUGUGAAGCAGGAAUACACCCUGGAGGGGACAUCAGGUCAUUGCAGGGCACCAUGCAGACACACAUUCACACAAUCACUUACAGCUGGGGGAAUUUAGCAUAGCCAGUCUACCUCCCGGCAUGUUUUUGGGAGGUGAGAGGCUAAUGGUGGUGAAAGAAUAAUGAAUUACAGAAAAUUCUGUAAGUUUAUACUUUAUAUGACUGAUACAUUUGGGAUUUCCAGACAUAGUUCAUAGGCCAGACAAAAGCUAAAACACUUAUUUAAACCAAACAAG